CCCGCGCUCCUCCGGGCAGAGCGCGUGUGGCGGCCGAGCACAUGGGCCCGCGGGCCGGGCGGGCUCGGGGCGGCCGGGACGAGGAGGGGCGACGACGAGCUGCGAGCAAAGAUGUGCCCCGGGACCCCCGGCACCUUCCAGUGGAUUUCCUUGCGGAAAGGAUGUUGGCGGUCCCUGUGACCUGUGGAGACACGGCCAGAUCUGCCCUCCAGCCUGAUCUUUUGGCCAGAAGGAGAUUAAAAAGAUGCCCCUCAAGAUGGCUGUGCCUGUCAGCUGCAUGGAGCUUCGUUCAAGUAUUUUCUGAGCCUGAUGGAUUUACAGUGAUCUUCAGUGGUCUGGGGAAUAACGCUGGUGGAACCAUGCACUGGAAUGACACACGCCCGGCACAUUUCAGGAUACUAAAAGUGGUUUUAAGGGAGGCUGUGGCUGAAUGCCUCAUGGAUUCUUACAGCUUGGAUGUCCAUGGGGGACGAAGGACUGCAGCUGGCUGAGAGGGUUGAGAUCUCUGUUUACUUAGAUCUCUGCCAACUUCCUUUGGGUCUCCCUAUGGAAUGUAAGACCCCGACUCUUCCUGGUGAAGCAUCUGAUGCACGUUCCAUCCGGCGCUCAGCUGGGCUUGAGCUGACCAUACUCCCUGGAGCCUUCUCCCGAGGUGCGCGGGUGACCUUGGCACAUACAGCCAUCAUGAUGGUACUUUAAGUGGAGGCUGAAUCAUCUCCCCUUUGAGCUGCUUGGCACGUGGCUCCCUUGGUGUUCCCCUUUUACUGCCAGGACACUGAGAUUUGGAGAGAGUCUCACUCUGUGGUCCAGGCUGAAGUACAGUGGCAUGAUCCCAGGUCACUGCAACCCCCACCUCCCGGGUUCAAGUGAUCCUCCUGCCUCAGCCUCCCGAGUAGCUGGUAUUACAGGCGUGUGCCACAAAGCCUGGCUAAGUUUUGUAUUUUUAGUAGAGACGGGGUUUCACCAUGUUGGCCAGGUUGGUCUCGAACUCCUGACCUCAAGUGAUCCACUCACUUUGGCCUUUCAACGUGCUGGGAUUACAGGCGAGAGUCACCGCACCCGGACGACUCUGACAUUUUUGAAGAGUCCAGAAUCCUGUUACACCUGGGAUUUAGGCACUUUCAAUCUGAAAAAAUACAUAUCCUUUCAGCACUCUGGACGGACUUGAGAACUGUCCUUACGUGACCUAAAGCUGGAGUAUUUUGAGAUUGGAGAAUUAAGAGUGUGGGCACCCUGGCUUCAAGCUCACGAGAAACCAGAAGGAAGUCACUGUGCAUAGCCAUCCCCUAAGAAGAGGGCAUUCCUGCUCUUCCUUCUCCAUGGCUAGAGGAUCUACAUGAACUAUUUAGAUUUUUUCUACCUGGGAGAUUUAACUCCUCUCUCCUAUUUAUUUAUUUAUAUAUCAGCAUGGACUUGCAGGCCAACAGAGAUUUUGAGAAACACAUUGAAGGAUCUGUUAACACUUGAUAUACCCAAUAAAAGCAGUGGUUGUGCCAGUGCUGAUCUGUCUUGAUGUGAAUGUGAACAAUGGGAACCUGAGCUGAGCAGUUAAUGCUAGGGUGACAGAAACUGGACCUCUCCCAAGACAUGUGACAGAGUAAUACAGCAGCCAACUUCUUCGCCAAAUUAAAGUUUUACAAGAUUUAACCUGUCAUCAAGACCUGGGAUUUUGGUGAAGGACAGAAUAACGGGCUCCCAGAUUCACAAGCCCCACCAAGAGGAUCACCCCAGGAACGCUUGGAGGCUGAGGAGUUCACUGAGGCUACUGCAUCUUGAGACUCAGGAUGAAGACCCAGCUUGGGGCUGUCAAAGGUUUUUUGCAUGUCUGACACCCAUGACUCCACCUGGACCUUAUGGCUCCACCCAGAAGCAAUUCAGCCCAACAGGAGGACAGCUUCAACCCAUUACGAUUUCAUCUCUGCCCCAACCACUCAGCAGCAAGCACCUGUUACCUGUCCACCCCCACCCCUUCCCCCAAACUGCCUUUGAAAAAUCCCUAACCUAUGAGCUUUGAAUAAGAUGAGUACGAACUUCAUCGCCCACGUGGCGUGGCCGGCCUCGUGUCUAUUAAAUUCUUUUUCUACUACAA
Molecule: long non-coding RNA, 2089 nt
Filed under: Homo sapiens (human)
Lineage: Eukaryota; Metazoa; Chordata; Mammalia; Primates; Hominidae
Description: Pvt1 oncogene, transcript variant 30 (PVT1)
Rfam family: Pvt1 oncogene conserved region 1 (bases 34-211)
Source: RNAcentral